RNAcentral lists this long non-coding RNA (6491 nucleotides) under Equus caballus (horse). RNAcentral describes it as "lncRNA (ENSECAG00000054412.1)". The record is from RNAcentral. Lineage: Eukaryota; Metazoa; Chordata; Mammalia; Perissodactyla; Equidae.
GGGGGUAGCAGGGACGCGGGGCGUGAGGUGACGUGGGGCGCGAGGCGGGGGCGUGAGGUGGCGGUGGGGGCGGCAGUGACGCAGGCGUGGGUGGCAGGGCGAGCGGCCCGGUGGCCCGUGUCGCGAGGCAGGGGCAGGCUGGCGGCCGGGCGGGCGCGCGUCUUCCGUGUGCCUGGGUCCCGGCUCUGCCGCCGGCUGCGGGGUGCCGGGCAGAGGCCAGGCCCCGAUGCCCCCGCGCGCCGUGCGCGCACGCAGUCCCCGGGUCGGAGGAGGGAGGCCAGGAGGCCGCUGGGCGCGGGAGCCCCGGGACAGCCGGGGGAGCUGGGGCUCGGUGCUGGCUCUGCCCGCCGCGCUGGGGCCCCCGGCUGCUCCCGAGGCCUCGCUCCCGCGGCCCGCAGCGGGCGCGGCCGGUUCUCCCCUGCGCGCGGGGCCGGUGUGAGGGCGGGACGCGGCGCACGCGCACCACGAGUCCGCCAGGGCCCGCGGACGGGGAGUUCAGAUCCCAGCUGGUGCCUGACCCCCGCCUCCCUCGUUUCCGAAACGCCUUCGUCUUUUCCUGUUCAGAGAACUUUCGAGAGACUUUCCAAGUUCUGCUCCGGAAGAGUGCGGCUCCCCGGGGUGCCAGCUGGCAUCUCCUGCAAUUAUCCUUAAAUUACAGGCGCAAUUUUAAUUUCACAAUAAUUAGAAGGGUCAACUGCAGCUCAAGCCGUCGAAACGAAUGGAAUUUUAAUGGGCAGCUGCUGAGGUUACAGCCGAGAAUAAUAACGCUGCCCGCCGGAGCCGGCCGGGGGAGCAGCGGCCACCUGGGAGGAGGGAAGCUGAGGGCUAGAGCUUAUUGUGUCCUGCGAAAUCUCCCCAAGGCCAUGAAGACAGUCUCCCACAUCCUGCUCCAGCGGCUGUGGUUCCGUUGGGUCUUUGAUCCAUCUCAGAUUCAUCGUUGUGCGUGACAGGAGUUAGAGCAUCGCGUUGUUCCAGCACCAUUUGUUCAAAGUCUGUCCCUUCCACCACUGAAUUUUUCUGGUGCCUUUGUCGAAAAUCAACUCACUGAACAGAGCUGGGUCUGUUGCUAGACUCUGAAUGAUUCCAUUGACGGGUAUGUUUACAUCAUCUAGAUUCCUGCAGCUUCAUAGACAGUCUUGAGGUCAGAUAGUGUAAAUCCUCCAACUUUGUUUUUGUCUAACAUUGUUUUGAUUAUUUCAGAUCUUUUGCAUUUCCGUGCAAAUUUUAAAUCAGCUUGUCAGUUUGUACCCAAAAAGCCUGCUGAAAUUUUGAUUGAGAUGGCAUUGAUCUAUAGAUCAACUUGAAAAGAAUUGACAUGUUAUCAAUCAAUAUUGAAUCUUGCCACUUAUGAACAUGGUCUCUCCUUGGAGAAGCUAGAACCUCCAGUAUAAUGUGGAAAAGAAGCUAUGAGAGCAGCAUUUCCUUAUUCCUGAUCUUAGGGGAAGAUACUCAGUCUUUCACCAAUGACUUCUUAAUAUGGAGGCCUGGCCUGGAUCGUUCGUUUCAAACCAUCUUUUCUAGUAUAAGCAUUUUAAAUUAUAAAUUUAUCUCUAGAAGAAGUUAAGCUAUAUACCACAGUUUUUGACAUACUGUAUUUUCAUUACUAUUCAGUUAAAAAUAUUUUUCUAAUUUCCCUUGUGAUUUGAAAUUGCUUAUGAUUCCCUUAUGAUUAGAAGUGUGCUAGUUAAUUGUUAAAAGUUGAGUGCUUUUCUAGAUAUUGUUAUUGAUUUCUGUUGUCAGAGAACUUACACUGUAUGACUUCAAUCCUUUAAAAUAAUAUUUAUUUCACAGCCCAGCAUAUGUUCUCUCUUGGUAAAUGUUCUGUAUGCACUUAAAAAGAAUCUGUAUUCUGUAGCUGAUGAGUGUAGUCUUUUAUUCAUGUUUAUUAGGUUAGAUUGUUUGAUGGUGUUCAAAUCUUUUAAUCUUUUAUAUGAUUACUGAUUAUUUUGUCUUGUUUUCUCAUCAAUUCAUGAUAGAAAAAUGUUAAAAUAUUCAACUAUAAGUGUGGUUUUGUCUAUUAUUAUUUGUCUCCUUUUAAUUCUCACAGUUUUUGCUUCAAAUAUUUCAAGAUUUAGCCACUCCAGCUUUCUUAUUUUUCCACAUUAUUUCUUUUUGUGUCCUUUAAUGUUCAGUGUAAAUGUGUUUUUAUAUUUAAAGUGUGUCUCUGUUAAACAGACUAUAGUAGGUUUUGUUUUAUUUUAAGCCCAGUCUGACAUGGUCUGCUUUUUUUUUUUGAGGAAGAUUAGCCCUGAGCUAACUGCUGCUAAUCCUUAUCUUUUCACUGAGGAAGACUGGUCCUGAGCUAACAUCCAUGCCCAUCUUCCUCCACCCUAUAUGUGGGACGCCUACCACAGCAUGGCAUGCCAAGCAGUGCCAUGUCCACACCUGGGAUCUAAACCGGUGAACCCCGGGCCCCCGAAGCGGAACAUGAGAACCCAACUGCUGCGCCACCGGGCCAGCCGCUGCUCUGCCUUUUAAUUGGAAUGUUUAGCCCAUUUAUAGUUGAUGUAAUUAUUGAUGUAAUUAGGUUCAAGUUUACCUAUAAUCUUGCUAAUUGUUUUCUUUUUGUCCUAUUUGCUCUUUUGUUCCUCCUUUGUUGCCUUCUUUUUGAUUAACUGAUCUAAAAUUUUUAAAUGUUAUCUCCUCCAUUGGGUUUUUAGCUACAAUAUUCUUUGUACUGUUUUUUUAGAGGUUGCUCCAGGGAUUCCAGUAUGUAUCCUUAACUUACCUCAAUCUCUUUUGAAAUAUUAUACUACUUCAUGUAGAAUGUAAAGACUUUUCAAUAUAUAAUUCCAUUUCCUUCCCGUCUUUUGUGCUAUUGUUCAUAUAAUUUAUAUGUAUUUCUGUUAUAAACCUCAUAAUACAUUGUUGUUAUAUUUACUUUAAAUGUUCAAUUAUUCUUAAAGUAAUGAGGAAAAAGGAAAUGUAGUCUUUCAUAUUUACCUGCACAUUAACCAUUUCUAGUGCUCUUCAUUCCUUUGUAUAGGUCCAAGUUUCCAUCUCGCAUCAUUUCCUUUCAGCCUAAAGAACUUCUUUUAGCGUUUCUUGCAGCAUGAGUAUGCUAGCAGUGAAUUCACUCAGCUUUUGUGUAUCUGAAAAUGCCUUUAUUCUGCUUUCAUUUUUCAAGGAUAUUUUCACUGAAUGUAGACUUCUCAGUUGACGGUUUUUCCUCCCAGUCCUUUAAAGAUGUUUCUCUUUUGUUUUGGGGGCUUCCAUCAUUUCUGAUGAGAACUCUAACAUUUUUAUUAUUGUACUAGUGGAUGUAAUGUAUCUUUUUUUCUCUCAAUUCUUCUAAGAUUUCAGUUUUUAUUUUCAACAAUUUGUGUCUAGGUGUGUUUUCCUUGUAUGUAUCCCGCUUGGGGUUUGUUGAGUUUUUGGAUCUAUGGAUUGAUUUUUUAAAAAGUCAAAUUUGAGAAAAUUUUGACCACUAGUUCUUCAAAUAUGUUUUCCCAUUUUAUCUUUUUUGGGACUCCAGUUACACAUAUGUCACAUCACUUGAUAUUAUCCCACAGGUCACAAGCAAACACUCUUUUCAUUUUAUUCAAUCUUUUUUGCCUCCCCAUGAUUUAGUUUGGAUUAUUCACAUUUUCCUGUCUUCAGGUUCACUGAAAUUUUCUUUUGCAGUGUCCAGAAGCCUAGCCAAUACAUUUUUAUUUCACAUAUUAUGAUAUUGUAGUCUUCAGUUCUUGAAUUUCCUUUGAGAUUUUAGAAUUUUCAUUUCUCUUCCAAAAUAUCCAAUCUCUUUAUAUAUUAUAUCUCUUUUUAUCUGAAAAUUCUUCUACAUAAUCAUAAUAUUUUGUUACAUUGUAUGUCUGCUAAUUUCAAUUACUGGAUUAUCUGGGGUCUACAUCUUUUGGUUGUAUUUUCUCUUCAUUAUAGGUCAACGUUGUCUCCUUCACAUUCUUGUAAUUUUUUAUUUCAUUCCAAACAUUGUGUGUAAAUGAACAGUGGAGACUGAUAUAUAAUAUUUUGUUUUGAUUUUGUUCUGCUGAUUUCCCACAGAAUGUAAACUGUUUCCUCAGUUUGGGUGAGGGGCUCACCAUUCAGAUUCCCCCGAGUCAAGUUAACUGUGGGUCUGGAGCACAGCUUUAAUUGUGCUGAGUUCACCUGUGUUCAGCAGAACGCUCCACCUUCCUCUCACGGUAGCGUUUUUGAUCUUGUCUGUGUUUGAAGUAGGAGGAUAAGAACAGUUUCAGAUAUGUUGAGCUCACCUUAGAUUUAACUCGGGCAGAGCCCUGGAACCCCAGCACUGUGAGAAUGUGGAGGACCAGGUGAUUGUGCUGCGCUUUCCAGCCUCUCCUCACGCUUCCUUUGCCAAGUCUGCGUCUGAAUGGGAGAGGGUAGACUUGCUGGGGCUGAGUUACUUGUCAUCUAAGACUGGGCUGGUUUCUCUUCAUUCCUGCUCCUCCAUCUGCUAAUAUGUGGAUCAGACUCCUGUUCUAGACAUGGAUGUUGCCACCACUCUCUGUUCUCUAUGAAGAGCUUGUCUUAGGAAUUCAGUUCAUAAAAGUUUCUUUGUAUCUACUGGUCUACUAACCCCAUAGAAAAGUACGAUUAUUUUUUUUCUUGGUUUAUCUCAUUGCUACCAUGGGAGUGAGAGUCUUGCAUCCUGCUACACCCUAGGCGGAGGAAGAUGUCCCAUUUUCUCUCCUUCAUUAUGCUCCACAUUGAAAGUGCUCAGGCCAAGGCAAAAGACAAAUUAACGAGUCUGUUAAGUCUUUCCUCUCAGGUGGAGUGAAUGCCACAGGUUUCACAUAAUAGAAUACUGUUUCCCAAUAAUACUGAUGCUCAUUUGUCUUGCUUUUCCUCAUAUUUUUAUUUGUGAUUGUUUCCAGAGGUGGUCAGAAAUUAGCAGAGCAUUUACUAGAGUUUCACACAGCAGCUGCACAGCAUCCUGCAAUACUGAGCAUGCCUGUUACUCUUACAUUUACGUACAUGUUGGGCUAGACCAGAGAAGUGGCUACCUCUACUGCACAUUGGCAACAGAUGGACAUUGAACAUUGAAGUGGGAAUUGUUUUAUUUAAUAAGAUUUAAUUAAAUUUUGAAAAAUCAAAUAAAACAAUUUUACUUUCAUUUAAAUACUUUAAAAGAUUGUCAAGGGAAGGCUGUGAUAAUGGUGCUAUCGGGAUGUAUAAAGGAAAAGGUAAACAAGCCAAAAUUUUGGCCAGAAACCCGGAAGCUUUCCUGUGCCAACUAUGGCACAGAGUCGGAAUUUGUUAUUGGGAGACGUGGCUUAGAGGAUGCCAGCAGUGAUGACGUGCUUCGGAGUAGUUCAAAGAUGAUAUUUGAUAGUUCCUGCAUCUGCCCAAAGAUGGAACAUCUUGAUGAAACAUGGAUCAUAUUUGACACAUAAUCACCCUCAGAAACACAAAAAGAAUGUCAACUAAAUGCUGUUAAAGCAAUUAGAUUUAAUUUAUACAAGAUUCAAGCUGCUUUGGAAGAGUUAAGUGAAACAGCAGAGUAUCCUCAGAUAAAGAGGAAUUGUGAUCUUUAGAGGAAAAUGGAACUGGCUCUGUUCCAGUCGUUUGCUACGUUGAUCACUAUUGAAAACAUUAGGAAAAGCUUACAAAAAAGAAAAACAGGUUGACUAUUUCAUGCUUAAAAAUUACAAACUUUUUUAAUUGGAGAGAAAAUAGCUUUUCUCCAUGGAAAAAAACUGCAUGUGAAAUAAGCAACAAAAAUAGCAUUCUAGUAAAAUGUAAGGAAACCAGAGGAAGGAAAUGAAAAUAUUUGCAUGGUGGUGAAAGAGAUGAUUCACGUAAAGUAAUCUUAAUUCUAUCGAGAUUAUUUUCUGUCAUUUUAGAUUUAAGACAAUCUCAACUGGAGAGAUUUGAAUAAACAGUAAUAUUUUGGUAUUUUUGAAAUAGCACUGACAAAUUUUAAAUAACUUUAGAAAUACUGCAUGAAUCUAGAUAUAGUUUUAAGAGUUGUUGAAAAUCUUGCUAUGUUAUAGUGAUUUAUAUGAUGAAAUUAAAAGUAGUUUGUAAUAUUUUCUGUGAUAACAAUAAUGUUUCAUAACAAUAUUUGAACCUGAUCCAUAAAAUUUGUGGUUCUUUUCCAACUGUAAAUAUUUGCUUUAAGAAUUUUGGGGGGGGCCGGCCUGGUGGCGCAGCGGUUAAGUUCGCACGUUCCGCUUCUCAGCGGCCCGGGGUUCGCUGGUUUGGAUCCCGAGUGCAGACGUGGCCCCACUUGUCAAGCCAUGCUGUGGUAGGCGUCCCAUAUAUAAAGUAGAGGAAGAUGGGCACAGAUGUGAGCUCAGGGCCAGUCUUCCUCAGCAAAAAGAGGAGGACUGGCAGUAGUUAGUUCAGGCUAAUCUUCCUCAAAAAAAAAAUUUUUUUGACAGUUACGAUUGCUUCUGCCUCAGUAGAGAAAAGUUUCUCCAAGUUGAAAAUAUAACACAAUUAUGUGGAAAUCUGGAUUAUAGCAACAUAGUUAGAGAUUUUGCUGAAAUGAAUGCAGGAAAAGUUAGUUUUUGGAAUAAAUAGCAUAA